RNAcentral lists this ribosomal RNA (540 nucleotides) under uncultured bacterium. Its description in RNAcentral is "bacterial SSU rRNA". It matches the Rfam family "Bacterial small subunit ribosomal RNA", at positions 777 to 1312 of the family's 1533-position model. The record is from RNAcentral.
AAUAGAUACCCUGGUAGUCCACGCCGUAAACGAUGAGUGCUAGGUGUUAGGGGGUUUCCGCCCCUUAGUGCUGCAGCUAACGCAUUAAGCACUCCGCCUGGGGAGUACGGUCGCAAGACUGAAACUCAAAGGAAUUGACGGGGGCCCGCACAAGCGGUGGAGCAUGUGGUUUAAUUCGAAGCAACGCGAAGAACCUUACCAGGUCUUGACAUCCCGCUGACCGCCAUGGAGACAUGGCCUUCCCUUCGGGGACAGCGGUGACAGGUGGUGCAUGGUUGUCGUCAGCUCGUGUCGUGAGAUGUUGGGUUAAGUCCCGCAACGAGCGCAACCCUUGUCCUUAGUUGCCAUCAUUCAGUUGGGCACUCUAAGGAGACUGCCGUACAAAUACGGAGGAAGGUGGGGAUGACGUCAAAUCAUCAUGCCCCUUAUGACCUGGGCUACACACGUGCUACAAUGGGGUGGUACAAAGGGCGGCAAAACCCGGCGAGGGGGGAGCGAAUCCCAAAAAGCCACUCUCAGUUCGGAUUGCAGGCUGCAACC